RNAcentral lists this transfer RNA (64 nucleotides) under Episcapha opaca. RNAcentral describes it as "tRNA-Leu". It matches the Rfam family "tRNA". From Rfam's summary of the family: Transfer RNA (tRNA) molecules are approximately 80 nucleotides in length. Lineage: Eukaryota; Metazoa; Arthropoda; Insecta; Coleoptera; Erotylidae. The record is from RNAcentral.
UCUAAUAUGGCAGAUUAGUGCAUUGGAUUUAAACCCCAAAAAUAAAGUUUUUCUUUUUUUAGAA